Molecule: ribosomal RNA, 281 nt
Filed under: uncultured bacterium
Lineage: Bacteria
Description: partial 16S ribosomal RNA
Rfam family: Bacterial small subunit ribosomal RNA
Source: RNAcentral
GUACCUACGGGACGCAGCAGUGGGGGAUAUUGCACAAUGGGGGGAACCCUGAUGCAGCGACGCCGCGUGGGUGAAGGAGCGUUUCGGCGCGUAAAGCCCUAUCGGCAGGGAAGAAGAUGACGGUACCUGACUAAGAAGCCCCGGCUAACUACGUGCCAGCAGCCGCGGCAAUACGUAGGGGGCAAGCGUUAUCCGGAUUUACUGGGUGUAAAGGGAGCGUAGACGGAAUUGCAAGUCUGAUGUGAAAAUCCGGGGCCCAACCCCGGAACUGCAUUGGAAAC